RNAcentral lists this ribosomal RNA (160 nucleotides) under Leptochela robusta. RNAcentral's name for it is "partial 16S ribosomal RNA". Lineage: Eukaryota; Metazoa; Arthropoda; Malacostraca; Decapoda; Pasiphaeidae. The record is from RNAcentral.
GCUUUACACUUAAUUGUUUGAUUUUGUAAUUAAGGUUUAAAUUUAAUUGAAUAUAAAGUGUUGCAUUGGGGCGAUGUAAAUUUAAUAAGUAACAGUUAUUAGUUAAAAAUAAGUUAUAUUUAGUAAAGGAGAUCCUUUGUAGAGAUUUGAAGAAAAAGUU